This 248-nucleotide ribosomal RNA is filed under the name uncultured Ruminococcus sp. Its description in RNAcentral is "partial 16S ribosomal RNA". It matches the Rfam family "Bacterial small subunit ribosomal RNA", at positions 524 to 772 of the family's 1533-position model. The record is from RNAcentral. Lineage: Bacteria; Bacillati; Bacillota; Clostridia; Eubacteriales; Oscillospiraceae.
UACGUUGGGAGCGAGCGUUGUCCGGAAUUACUGGGUGUAAAGGGAGCGUAGGCGGGGAUGCAAGUUGGGUGUCAAAACUACCGGCUCAACUGGUAGUCGCACUCAAAACUGCAACUCUUGAGUGAAGUAGAGGCAGGCGGAAUUCCUAGUGUAGCGGUGAAAUGCGUAGAUAUUAGGAGGAACACCAGUGGCGAAGGCGGCCUGCUGGGCUUUUACUGACGCUGAGGCUCGAAAGUGUGGGUAUCGAA